RNAcentral lists this ribosomal RNA (383 nucleotides) under uncultured eukaryote. Its description in RNAcentral is "partial 18S ribosomal RNA". It matches the Rfam family "Eukaryotic small subunit ribosomal RNA", at positions 592 to 976 of the family's 1831-position model. The record is from RNAcentral.
CAAUAGCGUAUAUUAAAGUUGUUGCAGUUAAAAAGCUCGUAGUUGGAUUUCUGGUGGGAGCGAUCGGUCUGGCGCUUAGCGCGAGUACUUGCAUCGUCUCCGGCCAUCCUUGGGGAGAGUCUGUCUGGCAUUAGGUUGUCGGGCAGAGGAUCCUCAUCGUUUACUGUGAAAAAAUUAGAGUGUUCAAAGCAGGCUUAUGCCGUUGAAUAUAUUAGCAUGGAAUAAUAAGAUAGGACUUUGGUACUAUUUUGUUGGUUUGCGCACCAAAGUAAUGAUUAAUAGGGACAGUUGGGGGUAUUCGUAUUCCGUAGUCAGAGGUGAAAUUCUUGGAUUUACGGAAGACGAACUACUGCGAAAGCAUUUACCAAGGAUGUUUUCAUUAA